This 788-nucleotide ribosomal RNA is filed under the name uncultured Lactobacillus sp. RNAcentral describes it as "bacterial SSU rRNA". It matches the Rfam family "Bacterial small subunit ribosomal RNA", at positions 28 to 776 of the family's 1533-position model. Lineage: Bacteria; Bacillati; Bacillota; Bacilli; Lactobacillales; Lactobacillaceae. The record is from RNAcentral.
GACGAACGCUGGCGGCGUGCCUAAUACAUGCAAGUCGAGCGAGCUUGCCUAGAUGAAUUUGGUGCUUGCACCAAAUGAAACUAGAUACAAGCGAGCGGCGGACGGGUGAGUAACACGUGGGUAACCUGCCCAAGAGACUGGGAUAACACCUGGAAACAGAUGCUAAUACCGGAUAACAACACUAGACGCAUGUCUAGAGUUUAAAAGAUGGUUCUGCUAUCACUCUUGGAUGGACCUGCGGUGCAUUAGCUAGUUGGUAAGGUGACGGCUUACCAAGGCAAUGAUGCAUAGCCGAGUUGAGAGACUGAUCGGCCACAUUGGGACUGAGACACGGCCCAAACUCCUACGGGAGGCAGCAGUAGGGAAUCUUCCACAAUGGACGCAAGUCUGAUGGAGCAACGCCGCGUGAGUGAAGAAGGGUUUCGGCUCGUAAAGCUCUGUUGGUAGUGAAGAAAGAUAGAGGUAGUAACUGGCCUUUAUUUGACGGUAAUUACUUAGAAAGUCACGGCUAACUACGUGCCAGCAGCCGCGGUAAUACGUAGGUGGCAAGCGUUGUCCGGAUUUAUUGGGCGUAAAGCGAGUGCAGGCGGUUCAAUAAGUCUGAUGUGAAAGCCUUCGGCUCAACCGGAGAAUUGCAUCAGAAACUGUUGAACUUGAGUGCAGAAGAGGAGAGUGGAACUCCAUGUGUAGCGGUGGAAUGCGUAGAUAUAUGGAAGAACACCAGUGGCGAAGGCGGCUCUCUGGUCUGCAACUGACGCUGAGGCUCGAAAGCAUGGGUAGCGAACAGG